AAUUGUUUGGCUGAAGAAACCUGCGUAACUUAUACUGAUGGUAAGGUUAUUCAAGAUCUCUGCCUCAGAUUAAGAAAUGUGGAAUGUGGUGAAGUGGAAAUCCAACUCCAAUGGAUUGACCUUCCUGGUUCCAAGGGUUUAUAAAAAGCUAUCAAUUUUCUCUUCUUUUUUUUUUUUUCAUUUUAUCUGCUUCUUUGUUGCUUGUGAUGAGUGGGGGCGCUGGUUUCAAGCACCCACCACUAGUUGUAGUGCUAGUUUUGAUUCAUAGUGGGGUUGAUUUGCUUUGUUUAGAGGGCUGAUUUACAAGCUGACCUUGUAAUGUGUAUUUAUUUCUUUUCUCUGUAUGAGGAGCUCAGCUCUA
Molecule: unclassified non-coding RNA, 361 nt
Filed under: Hevea brasiliensis (rubber tree)
Lineage: Eukaryota; Viridiplantae; Streptophyta; Magnoliopsida; Malpighiales; Euphorbiaceae
Source: RNAcentral